RNAcentral lists this ribosomal RNA (443 nucleotides) under uncultured bacterium. Its description in RNAcentral is "partial 16S ribosomal RNA". It matches the Rfam family "Bacterial small subunit ribosomal RNA", at positions 338 to 795 of the family's 1533-position model. The record is from RNAcentral.
CCUACGGGUGGCAGCAGUGGGGGAUAUUGGACAAUGGGCGGAACCCUGAUCCAGCGACGCCGCGUGAGUGAAGAAGUAUUUCGGUAUGUAAAGCUCUAUCAGCAGGGAAGAAAGCAAUGACGGUACCUGACCAAGACGCGCCGGCUAACUACGUGCCAGCAGCCGCGGUACUACGUAGGGGGCAAGCGUUCGCCGGAAUUACGGGGUGUAAAGGGAGCGUAGACGGUUAAGUAAGUCUGGAGUGAAAGGCCGGGGCCCAACCCCGGGACUGCUCUGGAAACUAUGGAACUGGAGUGCAGGAGAGGUAAGUGGAAUUCCUAGUGUAGCGGUGAAAUGCGUAGAUAUUAGGAGGAACACCAGUGGCGAAGGCGGCUUACUGGACUGUAACUGACGUUGAGGCUCGAAAGCGUGGGGAGCAAACAGGAUUAGAUACCCUGGUAGUC